Molecule: ribosomal RNA, 510 nt
Filed under: uncultured bacterium
Lineage: Bacteria
Description: partial 16S ribosomal RNA
Rfam family: Bacterial small subunit ribosomal RNA
Source: RNAcentral
GACGAACGCUGGCGGCGUGCUUAACACAUGCAAGUCGAACGAAGAGCGAUGGAAGCUUGCUUCUAUCAAUCUUAGUGGCGAACGGGUGAGUAACGCGUAAUCAACCCGCCCUUCAGAGGGGGACAACAGUUGGAAACGACUGCUAAUACCGCAUACGAUCUAAUCUCGGCAUCGAGGAUAGAUGAAAGGUGGCCUCUACAUGUAAGCUAUCACUGAAGGAGGGGAUUGCGUCUGAUUAGCUAGUUGGAGGGGUAACGGCCCACCAAGGCGAUGAUCAGUAGCCGGUCUGAGAGGAUGAACGGCCACAUUGGGACUGAGACACGGCCCAGACUCCUACGGGAGGCAGCAGUGGGGAAUCUUCCGCAAUGGACGAAAGUCUGACGGAGCAACGCCGCGUGAGUGAUGACGGCCGUCGGGUUGUAAAGCUCUGUUAAUCGGGACGAAAGGCCUUCUUGCGAAUAGUGAGAAGGAUUGACGGUACCGGAAUAGAAAGCCACGGCUAACUACGUG